CCUACGGGGGGCUGCAGUGAGGAAUAUUGGUCAAUGGGCGGGAGCCUGAACCAGCCAAGCCGCGUGAGGGAAGAAGGUACUGCGUAUCGUAAACCUCUUUUGUCAGGGAACAAAGGCGGGGACUAGUCCCCGGCUGAAGGUACCUGAAGAAAAAGCAUCGGCUAACUCCGUGCCAGCAGCCGCGGUAAUACGGAGGAUGCGAGCGUUAUCCGGAUUUAUUGGGUUUAAAGGGUGCGUAGGCGGCCUGUUAAGUCAGCGGUAAAAGCCCGGGGCUCAACCCCGGCGAGCCGUUGAAACUGGCGGGCUGGAGUUGGAGAGAGGUACGCGGAAUGCGCGGUGUAGCGGUGAAAUGCUUAGAUAUCGCGCAGAACCCCGAUUGCGAAGGCAGCGUGCCGGCUCCACACUGACGCUGAGGCACGAAGGCGUGGGUAUCGAACAGGAUUAGAUACCCUAGUAGUC
RNAcentral lists this ribosomal RNA (459 nucleotides) under uncultured bacterium. Its description in RNAcentral is "partial 16S ribosomal RNA". It matches the Rfam family "Bacterial small subunit ribosomal RNA", at positions 338 to 795 of the family's 1533-position model. The record is from RNAcentral.